Molecule: long non-coding RNA, 338 nt
Organism: Cucurbita maxima (winter squash)
Lineage: Eukaryota; Viridiplantae; Streptophyta; Magnoliopsida; Cucurbitales; Cucurbitaceae
Exons: 3
Source: RefSeq, a predicted model, not a curated record
GAAAGUUUGUCAUAUGUAGAGAGAGGAAUUCAUAGAGCACAAGUAAGACAAAUUUGAUCAAAGUAUUGCACAAAGAGGUGAAAGGUUGCUUCAGGAAUUAAUAAAGAAUGGAAGAAAAUUAUUUUUCAACGAUGACUGGCUUUGGAUACAUUUUCACAAAAAGCGAUUCACAUCUCAAAGAAAGACCAAGUUACAUCAAAGGUGAUAAUUUUCGUGAUUCGAGGACGAAUCCUUUUGAAGAGAGGGAAGAUGAACACGGAGCAUUAUAUACUGUCAAAUAUAUGUAUAUUCUAUGUAUAUCGAACAUUAUAUACUUUUGUCUUAAAAUAUCCUAAAAA